UACGAAGGGGGCUAGCGUUGCUCGGAAUCACUGGGCGUAAAAGGGUGCGUAGGCGGGGUCUUUUUAAGUCAGGGGGUGAAAUCCUGGAGCUCAACUCCAGAACUGCCUUUGAUACUGAGGAUCUUGAGUUCGGGAGAGGUGAGUGGAACUGCGAGUGUAGAGGUGAAAUUCGUAGAUAUUCGCAAGAACACCAGUGGCGAAGGCGGCUCACUGGCCCGAUACUGACGCUGAGGCACGAAAGCGUGGGGAGC
Molecule: ribosomal RNA, 251 nt
Filed under: uncultured bacterium
Lineage: Bacteria
Description: partial 16S ribosomal RNA
Rfam family: Bacterial small subunit ribosomal RNA
Source: RNAcentral